RNAcentral lists this unclassified non-coding RNA (391 nucleotides) under soil metagenome. RNAcentral describes it as "partial contains 5.8S ribosomal RNA, internal transcribed spacer 2, and large subunit ribosomal RNA". The stretch from base 1 to 122 matches the Rfam family "5.8S ribosomal RNA", at positions 35 to 154 of the family's 154-position model. The record is from RNAcentral.
GAUGAAGAACGUAGUGAAAUGCGAUACUUGGUGUGAAUUGCAGAAUCCCGUGAACCAUCGAGUCUUUGAACGCAAGUUGCGCCCGAAGCCAUUAGGCCGAGGGCACGCCUGCCUGGGCGUCACACGUCGUUGCCCCCCCAUCUACUCCUUCGGGAUUGCGGGGGGCGGAUGAUGGCCUCCCGUGCGCCUCGUCGCGCGGUUGGCCUAAAUGCCAAGUCCUCGGCGACGCACGCCACGACAAUCGGUGGUUGCGAAACCUCGGUUGCCUGUCGUGUGCGGUCGUCGCGCAUCGAGGGCUCGAAAAAAUUGUCGGGCUCCGGCUCGGCUUUCAACGCGACCCCAGGUCAGGCGGGGUUACCCGCUGAAUUUAAGCAUAUCAAUAAGCGGAGGA